Molecule: ribosomal RNA, 165 nt
Filed under: uncultured bacterium
Lineage: Bacteria
Description: partial 16S rRNA
Rfam family: Bacterial small subunit ribosomal RNA
Source: RNAcentral
UAGGGAAUCUUCCACAAUGGACGAAAGUCUGAUGGAGCAACGCCGCGUGAGUGAAGAAGGUUUUCGGAUCGUAAAGCUCUGUUGUAAGAGAAGAACGUGUGUGAGAGUGGAUAGUUCACACAGUGACGGUAACUUACCAGAAAGGGACGGCUAACUACGUGCCAG